RNAcentral lists this ribosomal RNA (497 nucleotides) under uncultured bacterium. Its description in RNAcentral is "partial 16S ribosomal RNA". It matches the Rfam family "Bacterial small subunit ribosomal RNA", at positions 28 to 507 of the family's 1533-position model. The record is from RNAcentral.
GAUGAACGCUGGCGGCGUGCCUAAUACAUGCAAGUCGAGCGAACAGACGAGGAGCUUGCUCCUAUGACGUUAGCGGCGGACGAGUGGGUAACAAGUGGCUCACCUACCUUUAAUACUGGGAAAACUUCGGGGAACAGGAGCGAAUAUCGGCGAAUAUCUCGAACGGGAUGGUUCAAUGGUGAUAGGGCGGUUGAUUGGCACUUAGAGAUGCAUCCGGGCCGCAUUGGCUAGGUGGUAGGGUAACGGCCUAGCAAGGCGACGAUGCGUAGCCGACCGGAGAGGGUGAUCGGCCACACUGGAGCUGAGCCACGCUCCCGGGUCCUACGGGAGGCAGCAGUAGGGAACGUGCCGCAGUGGGCGAGAGCAUGACGGAGCAACGCCGCGUCAGUGAUGAAGAUCUUCGGAUCGUAAAACUCUGUUUCGAGUGAAGAACAACUGUGUGAGGAACUAUGCCCGUCUUGACGGUACCUAAUGAAGAAGCCCCGGCUAACUACGUG